UGACGGCCCCACUCCUUCCCAUUCCGAACAGGACAGUGAAACGUCUCCGCGCCGAUGAUAGUUGGUUGUAUUUCCAGUGAAAGUAGGUCAUCGCCAGGC
This 99-nucleotide ribosomal RNA is filed under the name Sutterella seckii. Lineage: Bacteria; Pseudomonadati; Pseudomonadota; Betaproteobacteria; Burkholderiales; Sutterellaceae. The record is from RNAcentral.